CACGUAGGGACCAAGCGUUGUCCGGAUUCAUUGGGCGUAAAGAGCUCGUAGGCGGUUCGAUAAGUCGGGUGUGAAACCUCCAGGCUCAACCUGGAGACGCCACCCGAUACUGUCGUGACUAGAGUCCAGUAGGGGAGCGUGGAAUUCCUGGUGUAGCGGUGAAAUGCGCAGAUAUCAGGAAGAACACCCGUGGCUAAGGCGGCUCUCUAGUACGGUACUGACGCUGAGACGCGAAAGCGUGGGGAGCGAACAGG
RNAcentral lists this ribosomal RNA (254 nucleotides) under uncultured bacterium. RNAcentral describes it as "partial 16S ribosomal RNA". It matches the Rfam family "Bacterial small subunit ribosomal RNA", at positions 524 to 776 of the family's 1533-position model. The record is from RNAcentral.